RNAcentral lists this transfer RNA (83 nucleotides) under Clostridia bacterium. Its description in RNAcentral is "tRNA-Leu". It matches the Rfam family "tRNA". Rfam says of the family: Transfer RNA (tRNA) molecules are approximately 80 nucleotides in length. The record is from RNAcentral. Lineage: Bacteria; Bacillati; Bacillota; Clostridia.
GCCGGAAUGGUGGAAUGGCAGACACGACGGACUCAAAAUCCGUUGCUGGCAACAGUGUGCGGGUUCAAGUCCCGCUUCCGGCA